Mytilus californianus (California mussel) is the source of this 414-nucleotide long non-coding RNA. RefSeq lists it as uncharacterized. The transcript is spliced from 3 exons. Lineage: Eukaryota; Metazoa; Mollusca; Bivalvia; Mytilida; Mytilidae. The record is from RefSeq and is a predicted model, not a curated record.
UUCCUUUUUAGGUUCUUUCUGUGACAUGUUUUUCAUGGUGUUGGGAAUAAGACUUUGGGAUCUAAUACAUCUAAAAGGAAGGUUAACAUCACAGCUUGUCCGUAAGGAUUGAGGUUGGGAAUGGCCAUUGGAGCUGACACUUAUGGUAACUUUAUCUGUGGCAGAAUGAAAAUGAUUGGGUGACUGUACCAGUAAAGAAUGUAAUUCAGACAAUUUUUGUGUAUGUUUGAGAAAAUGUUUAUAAUUUUUUACAAAAAAAAAAUAGUGUAAAGAUUCUCCAUUUUCAACAAGAUUGUAAGUUAUAGAUAACUUAUUUUGAAUUUUAAAAUCUCUCUUUUUACCAUUAAAACCAAAGGAUAUAUUCAGGUAGCUCUACUCAUGUCCAUUCUUGACAAUUGUUUUGUCAUGCAUAUU